AUUGAACGCUGGCGGCAGGCCUAACACAUGCAAGUCGAGCGGUAACAGAACUAGCUUGCUAGUUGCUGACGAGCGGCGGACGGGUGCGUAACACGUAGGAAUCUGCCCGGUAGUGGGGAUAGCCCGGAGAAAUCCGGAUUAAUACCGCAUACGUCCUACUCUUUUUCGGAAGAGGGGGGAAAGCAGGGGAAUCUUCGGAUCCUUGCGCUAUCGGAUGAGCCUGCGUCGGAUUAGCUAGUUGGUAGGGUAAAGGCCUACCAAGGCAACGA
This 269-nucleotide ribosomal RNA is filed under the name uncultured bacterium. RNAcentral describes it as "partial 16S ribosomal RNA". It matches the Rfam family "Bacterial small subunit ribosomal RNA", at positions 30 to 279 of the family's 1533-position model. The record is from RNAcentral.